RNAcentral lists this ribosomal RNA (528 nucleotides) under Cronobacter sakazakii. RNAcentral describes it as "bacterial SSU rRNA". It matches the Rfam family "Bacterial small subunit ribosomal RNA", at positions 1 to 522 of the family's 1533-position model. Lineage: Bacteria; Pseudomonadati; Pseudomonadota; Gammaproteobacteria; Enterobacterales; Enterobacteriaceae. The record is from RNAcentral.
UGGAGAGUUUGAUCCUGGCUCAGAUUGAACGCUGGCGGCAGGCCUAACACAUGCAAGUCGAACGGUAACAGGAAGCAGCUUGCUGCUUCGCUGACGAGUGGCGGACGGGUGAGUAAUGUCUGGGGAUCUGCCUGAUGGAGGGGGAUAACUACUGGAAACGGUAGCUAAUACCGCAUAACGUCGCAAGACCAAAGAGGGGGACCUUCGGGCCUCUUGCCAUCAGAUGAACCCAGAUGGGAUUAGCUAGUAGGUGGGGUAACGGCUCACCUAGGCGACGAUCCCUAGCUGGUCUGAGAGGAUGACCAGCCACACUGGAACUGAGACACGGUCCAGACUCCUACGGGAGGCAGCAGUGGGGAAUAUUGCACAAUGGGCGCAAGCCUGAUGCAGCCAUGCCGCGUGUAUGAAGAAGGCCUUCGGGUUGUAAAGUACUUUCAGCGGGGAGGAAGGCGAUGCGGUUAAUAACCGCGUCGAUUGACGUUACCCGCAGAAGAAGCACCGGCUAACUCCGUGCCAGCAGCCGCGGUA